CAAUAAGCGGAGGAAAAGAAACCAACAGGGAUUGCCUCAGUAACGGCGAGUGAAGCGGCAACAGCUCAAAUUUGAAAUCUGGUCCUUUCAGGCCCCGAGUUGUAAUUUGUAGAGGAUGUUUCGGGUACGGCGCGGGUCUAAGUCCUUUGGAACAGGGCAUCAUAGAGGGUGAGAAUCCCGUAUGUGACCCGGUGACCAAAUCCACAUGAAACCCCUUCGACGAGUCGAGUUGUUUGGGAAUGCAGCUCAAAAUGGGUGGUAAAUUUCAUCUAAAGCUAAAUACCGGCCAGAGACCGAUAGCGCACAAGUAGAGUGAUCGAAAGAUGAAAAGCACUUUGGAAAGAGAGUCAAAAAGUACGUGAAAUUGUUGAAAGGGAAGCGCUUGCAACCAGACCUGUCCGCGGGCGAUCAGCCUCCGUUCUCGGGGGUGCACUUGUCCGCGAUCAGGCCAGCAUCGGUUCGGGCGGGCGGAUAAAGGCCUUGGGAAUGUAGCUCUCUCCGGGGAGUCUUAUAGCCCUUGGUGCAAUGCGGCCAGCCCGGACCGAGGACCGCGCUUCGGCUAGGAUGCUGGCGUAAUGGUUGUAAGCGACCC
Molecule: ribosomal RNA, 592 nt
Filed under: uncultured fungus
Lineage: Eukaryota; Fungi
Description: partial large subunit ribosomal RNA
Rfam family: Eukaryotic large subunit ribosomal RNA
Source: RNAcentral